UACGUAGGGGGCAAGCGUUGUCCGGAUUUACUGGGCGUAAAGAGCUCGUAGGUGGUUCGGUAAGUCGGAUGUGAAAUCUCCAGGCUCAACCUGGAGGGGUCAUUCGAUACUGCCGUGACUAGAGGUCGGUAGGGGAGUGUGGAAUUCCUGGUGGAGCGGUGAAAUGCGCAGAUAUCAGGAGGAACACCCGUAGCGAAGGCGGCACUCUGGGCCGAUACUGACACUGAGGAGCGAAAGCGUGGGGAGCGAACAGG
RNAcentral lists this ribosomal RNA (254 nucleotides) under uncultured bacterium. Its description in RNAcentral is "partial 16S ribosomal RNA". It matches the Rfam family "Bacterial small subunit ribosomal RNA", at positions 524 to 776 of the family's 1533-position model. The record is from RNAcentral.